GGGAAUGUGGCUUAGUGGUAGAGUGCUUGUCUUGCAUGCAUGAGGCCCUGGGUUCGAUUCCUCAGCACCA
RNAcentral lists this transfer RNA (70 nucleotides) under Dipodomys ordii (Ord's kangaroo rat). It matches the Rfam family "tRNA". Rfam says of the family: Transfer RNA (tRNA) molecules are approximately 80 nucleotides in length. The record is from Rfam by way of RNAcentral. Lineage: Eukaryota; Metazoa; Chordata; Mammalia; Rodentia; Heteromyidae.